CCACUUCAAGUGGUACUUGAAUUCGUGUAGAAAAGUACGUUAGGGUUUCCACCAUGGCUUGUGCCUCCGCUUGAGCCGCUGAAGACACCUUAAUAGAUCGCGCAAAACCGUCAAUUAGCCUUCCAGAACUGUCACGACAAACACCUGCCACUGCGCCUUCGUUCCUUCUAGGCAGAGAGGCUCCAUCAAUAUUGAUUUUGAGUUCCCUUGGCUCUGGUGGCCGCCAUUGAUGGAGGCGGAAGCUUGCUGCGUUUUUGGUUUUCUUCUUCGGAGGGAGCUACUGAUCGUGAUUUCGUUGCAUCACAACAGCUUCAUCCACUACCUGCUCUGGAUCUGGUUUUUUCUCUCGAAAAACAAAGUGGUUUCGGGCUUUCCAUAUUUGCCAAAGAACAAAUGCUAGAAACUCAAAGGAGACCGAGAUUUUCCUUGUCCAUGGACAAAGAAGGAGAGCGUGUUCUACGGUUUCAGGGCUUUGAUUACAGAGACUGCAAAGGGGAGGAGAAAGAUGCCAUUCGUUGCUCUACGUCUUCUGCCUCUUCCAUGGCAGCCAAGCUAAAAGGAUUCAAGCUUUGGGAUUAGACAAUCCAAUUAGUGAGGGAUGAUUGAAGCAGGCUGGGGUAAAAGGGUUAGGGUUUUUAUGGUAUUUGGGUGGAGACGGGAUAGGAUUUUAGGGAAUGUUAGGGUUUUUAGCUACCCAAAAAGGUAGAGAGAGACUCUUCGAAAAGAGAGGAUUGAGUGGUUUUCCUUUACAAGUAGCAAAUUAGACACGACAUACUUCAAAAGGUAGUAUUUCGAAGAUCACAAGUUCACGCUAGCCACCUUCUAGGCUCCAUUCUUGGUAAAGGCCAAAGAUGCAGCCCCAGAU
Molecule: long non-coding RNA, 865 nt
Organism: Eucalyptus grandis
Lineage: Eukaryota; Viridiplantae; Streptophyta; Magnoliopsida; Myrtales; Myrtaceae
Exons: 3
Source: RefSeq, a predicted model, not a curated record